CAUAUAGUGGACCGCAACAGUUCCGUGAUGGCGAAGAGCAGCAAUAUUAAUAUUGAAAGUAUUUUUGAGGAAUACCUGCAAAAAGAACAGCAAUUCGAACAGGAAAUAGAAGAACGUAAUAAAUUACGUUGUGAUAUUCGCAAUAGGAAUAUUCUCAACAUUUCCUACUCAUCUUCAACAAACUUUUCUUUAAACUUGGAAAAAUCACGCAUUCGUAACCAAGCUCUUUUAAAGGAUUUAGAGAUGUCUAGAGCACGUCUGAGAACUUACGCUUCUUAUACGCCUACCGAUGCAGAAUUACAGCAGAUUUCGUCGGCCUAUCGGACUCAUCUUCGCAGAACUGUCCAAGACACGGAAUCAUGAUAAACUCAUGCGAUUUCCAUGCGAUCGAUUACUCGUUGAUUCAUCUUUUCAACCUGAUAACUCGAGCCGAACGAACAAACUUUUAAAUGAAAAGUUUGUUGAUCGUUGGGAUCGAUGGAUCGGGUUGAUUACUGUGUGAACUAUUUCAUGACGUGGCCGAUUCUUCGUAUGGCGAGAGAACUGAUCCAUAAAAUAUGCAAAACAAAAUUUGGAUGGACUGGACUACAUACGAAAUGUAACGUGAAUUCGAAGUUUUCGAGGUAUAAUUUCGUAUUUCUACGUGGCAUGUACAGCUAUAACAGCUGAGUAAACGAAAUAACGCUCUGUGGCUUCUUACUUUGACCAUUGUGACGCCCGCAAACAUCUGUAUCAACAGCCUCAUUAUCUCGAAGAUACCAUUUCUUUCACGGUUUGGUCAGAGAUCCCGCGACUCCCCACGAAUCCAUAAAUUUCUUUUUCUCGAAAUUGAGACCAAAUAAAGAUUGGUUUGUUCCUAAAAAAAUCUAAAUAAAAUUUUCUUUUUAAUCUAAAUAAAUCGAAAAAUCUGAACCUAAAUAUGUAUUACAAUAUUUGACAAGAGAGGACUUGAAUACAGGUUGAAAUUAAUACCGCCCGCUUUUUUAUUGUGAUUAGUGAGUGCACCUGUAUCAUUUAAAAUUUAUAUCACAAGUAUCUACACUUGUCGAUACGUUAUAAUCUGCAUGUUGUACAUCGUUAUUUGAGUUUUAAAAUAAUUUUAUAUUAUUGCGUUAUUACAAUAACGCAAUAAUAUAAUUUUUACAUUAUUACUACGACUUUGCGCAACGCUAUAAAAACGUAUGGCUUUUUUAUGAACUUAUUUAUCUGGAGCACGUGUUUUGGAUCACGCUUUUGAGCCACUAAGAUGUUUUAUGGAAUUGAUAUAGAAUAUCGCGGUUUCUUAUGUUUAUUGUGUGUCAUAUAAGCUUAAACUUAACCGAUGCAAGUUUUUUGUAACUGACCAGAUAGACUGUCAACUGACUGUCGAGUAUUAAUGUAUUAUUGUCACCGCCAGUGUUUAUUGGACGAUAAACGUAUGACGUUUACUGUCCUUGGUAUAUGCAAUGUAGAUCAAGACAUUUAUAUAAAUUUUUCAUUCUAUGUUUCUCUUCAUAGCAAACUUGACUGAAGAAUAAAGAAUAAAGAACCGUAAGUUUUGUUAUACAAGUGAAAUAAAAAUCUAAAAAAAUUAUAUCUGUUUUAAUUGAUCUAUUUGUUCUAUAAUCACUUAAUUGUAUAUCGCAAUAAAUGUUGUAAAUAUAUUAUAAAACUAUAUUUUUUUAACAUUAUAAAUUUUUUAAUAACGAAAGUUAUUACAAUACUUAUACUGCGCUUUUUAAAUAAUAAAAGUUGUGAAUAUUAAUUUAUUAUUUGAAUAAUUAAUACGUAAGGUGAACGUAAGGUUCAAAAUUCGCGAAUCAAACUAUAACAAUAAAAUUCUUGAAAAAUAUAUAAAAUUAUGUAAAAUAAUUGCUUAAAUUUACAAUCAUCAGUAUAUGCUGUGCGCCGAUAAAUUCAUCAGUCUUACAACAGUUUUUUUUACCGGAAUAUAUAUAUUAUUAAUUAAAUUGAAGCACGUGUAUUCAAAUACUUAAUAGAAAAUUUUUAUUACCAGCUCGAAUGAUUUUUAAAAUUAUAAGAAAUAUGUAUAUUUAAUAUCGCCUGUAUGAGCCAACACUAUAGAUGUUCGCGUAUAUAAUUAAUUACUUAAUUUAUAAUCAUCAGCAUACUAUGUAACUAUAUACUAUACGUCGACAAAUUCAUCUUACAAGUUUUUUUUUACCGGAAUAUAUAAAUUAAAUUAAUUAGCAAUUUAAUAUCUUUUUGAUACUAACAAGCAUCUAUAAAAUGUUACCCAAUUAAAUCUUGGGAUGGAAUUCAUAGAUCGAUCUUAAGUUCAAGAAUCGUCUUAAGUCUAGCCACGAGAGACUCUAGAAAAAAACGGUAAAGAAAUUAUUGUGAAAAAUAAAACCUCAAUCAGGGUUUGAACCUGGAUCUUUCAUUAUUCCGUGAGAGCGUUCUAGCCAAUUCGAUCAGCGAGGCAUAUGGUGAUACUUCUCGCAGUAACCAAUAUAUAUCUAAACAAAUGGGAUAACGCACACUUUUCAGUUUUCAGUAUAUUCAAAUGCUAAAUAGAAAAUUGUUUUUAUUACCGGCUGUAUAAUUAAUCACUUAAAUUUACAAUUAGUAUACACGCAAACAUCUAGUGUCUGCUCAUAAAAAUUAAAUAUACAUAUUUCUGAUUUUUAAAAUUAUUCGAGCCGGUAACAAAAAUUUUCUAUUAAGUAUAAGAUAAUUGUAAAUUAUUAAAAAAUUUUUGAGAUAAGUUUAAAAUCGAAAAAUCAAAUUAAAAACGCUUAAUAAAAUGUGAUAAGUUGCACAAGAGAUAAUAUUAGUGACAGACAAACAUAAUCUUUGAUUAAUUAACUUUAAAUUUUGUAUUUCAAAUUUUUCAUAUAUAUUGUAUCUCAAAAGUUUAUUACUUUAAAUAAAAAUCGACAAACGUAUAAUUUUUGCUCAGUUUUUCGAGAACUUUCUUAUCAUAGUAUUUUAUUUCUUUAUUUUAUCUCUAAUUUUGAGAGAACUUGUAUAAGAAUAACAGGCUAAUAUCGUAUGUACUAGGAUAAAAUAAUUUUAUUCUAACGUAUUAGUUAAUUUGUUGUAUAUCAUAAAUUUAUUGUCUUUUUAAAAAAACACAAAAAGAUAUUAAUAUUAAAUAAUUUAUUAACUAUCAUGUAAAAGCAAUAUUAGACAAUGACAAAAAUUGUAAUUUAUAACAUAUACAAUAAUUAUGUUUUUAAUUUAUACGUAUUUCUUGAUAUUCGUUUAUCACAGCACUAAUUGUGCUAACAGCACCCUAUUUUCAUGUAUAAACAAAUAAAAUAA
Molecule: RNA transcript, 3267 nt
Organism: Monomorium pharaonis (pharaoh ant)
Lineage: Eukaryota; Metazoa; Arthropoda; Insecta; Hymenoptera; Formicidae
Exons: 4
Source: RefSeq, a predicted model, not a curated record